GGGCUGUGAGCAACCUGGUCUAGUGGGAGGUGUCCCUGCCUAAAGCAGGGGGUUGGAACUACAAGAUCUUAAAGGUCCCUUCCAAUGCAAACCAGUCUAUGAUUCUACUGCACAUGUUGUGAUUCUCAACCGGCAGAAGAAAAGAACGUGAAUUACUCUGGCUCUCGGGCACGGAGCCGAGGCGGGUUGCGGCUUCUCGCAGGGAGCUUUUGGGCGAGCUGCCUUCCCCCCGCCGCCAGGAAAGGAGCUGCUCGUUGCGUGCUGCGGAACUCGCCUGAACCAGAAGCGUACGGAACAAAACCAGUCCGAAAUUCUGAGACGUUCCAGGGCCCCAGUACCUGCCUGCAAGAUGGUUUGUUUACACAAGAAAUGCCAGUCCUCAACUGAGUUCUCAGUCUCAAAACAGCCACUGUGCAGCUGUGAGGUUCUGCUCCUGGCAUAUAGAAAGAAUUCCCUGAGUAUGCAGACCUGCCACAGCAGAUCAGAGAGUGGUCCGUCUUGCCCUGUGUUCAAUCUGGAAACCUUUGAUAGUCCUCUGUGUGACUCUGCUUUCAGAAAAGGGGGUAUUGACUGCUAAAAGCAGUCAGCCAUUAGGAAAGUGUUUUCAACUGAGGUGUCCUUUGAAAUCAGGCACAAAACAGGUCUUCUAGCAAGGUCCUCUAAACAAGUUAUUUCUACUUCUACUGCUGCUACAUCUGUUCAAAGCACUAAGUGCUGAGAAAAUGAAAUGCUUAAGCUUUAUAUUAUAGCUACGGGUUAAAUUAUUAUUUAUAUUGAUAGUUAGUAUGAGAUUUAAAGAAGUGCUUUAAAAGCCUGAAAUGAAAAAAAAAGUCAUAGAAUGUAAGAAAGUCUAAGUCUACACUGUCUUGUACAUUGCAUACUUCUGCUACUAAAAUAUGCUGCCAUAUCAAUAUUAAGCAUCCUUCUCUAUAUUAUUUAUUAUAUAGGUCUAAAGACAAAAGGAAUUAAGGCUGGUGGAACAGCACAAGUUCUCCCAUGUCUCCAGGUAGCUUUCUAUCCUAUGUGCUAAUUUUACUUUGCAUAGGGCUGAGAUGUUUUGCAGAAAAACUUCUAAGUGAAAUUAUUUUAAUAAACAGAUUUAAUUUUUAAUAAAGAUGUUAAAA
Molecule: long non-coding RNA, 1124 nt
Filed under: Chrysolophus pictus (golden pheasant)
Lineage: Eukaryota; Metazoa; Chordata; Aves; Galliformes; Phasianidae
Description: lncRNA (ENSCPIG00010003032.1)
Source: RNAcentral